CUCGCGUCCGGUCUACCCAGCGCAACAACUGCUGCUUCGUUUUCCUGCCCUCGGACUGGACUUCGUGUGCCUCAGUUUCUCUCGUGUGCAAUGGCCGUAGCCACGCCACCCAACGUUUUCCACUUCUUAGCCCCUGUUUCGGCUUGGACUGGGAAGAUGGAUCCGAGGUAAAGCACUUGCCGCGAAAGCAUGGACACCCGUUCAGAGUGCGUGUUGACCCAGGUGUCUGCUGUCUCAGCGUACCUGUGCUGAGAUUGGAACAUCUUGGAAGCUCACGAACCAGCUAGACUGCCACAGAGUGCGCCACAGUGAGCAAGAGACUGCCUCAAACUAGGUGGGAGCUGAGGACCGACACCUAGGCUGUCUCAUCUCGGGUCUGUUUCUAGAAAACUCAACCCAAGACAGCCUCAGGACCACAGGACCCUGUGAUGACCCCAGACUCUGGUCAUCAAGACACUGGACACACAAUAUGAUGGUGACACAGAUCUGCUUUGUGGUGCUGGAAAAUCAGGCAGGACGGCUUCGAUAAGUGAGCGGGAUGGUGGUGGUCCUAUGAGAGAAGCAUCCAGAGCACCAAGACAUGAUCAAAAGUGGCCACGGACUUUCUUCUGGCUUUGGGGUAGAAGAAGGUCUCAGAGGGGUGUUUAUACCAGCACUUACCGCAGGGAGAAGAGCUGAGGAAGCUGGCCGGGGAGUAAGGAGGUCUUGCAAGACUUAGUGAGCUACACGUGCAAAGGCUCAGAGCGGAGACUGACCCAGGGAGGCCUGGUUUGGGGUGGGGCUUGGAAUCAGGUUCCACGUGGGAGAAGGGCAGGAGAUGAGGAAGGGAGCAAGCAGAAGUCAGGUCUUCUGCAGCGCUGUGAGCUGCAGUGAAGAACUUAGGUCGGAUUCUAAGACUGAUGGGAAGCCUUGGGUUUUUAAAGUAAGGAAAGCUGGUUUAAUGCAGCAGAGAAGCUUACUGUUGUUGUGGGCUAGAAGAUGCCCGGGAGUGGGUGGUGAGGGUCUGGCCAGGAGCACAGUACAGGGAGUUGGCAACUCAGUGUGGGAACAGUUGAGGAGCCAAACAGGACAAUAAGGUGACCCAUAAAGGACCAAUAGCAGGUUACCCUGGUAACCAUGGCCAGGUGGACAAUGAAGAGCCAGAGCCACCUGGCAGGAAGAACCGGGUUGCUCCUGAGUAGCAUGAGCAUGUGGCAGACCAGAUUUCAGCCUUGGGACACGAAGGGCAACACUCAGGACUCCCUGAGACAAUUGGAGAUUAUUAAGAAUUCUUGGGUCAGGCAGCGAUGGCACACACCUUUAAUCCCAGUACUCGGGAGGCUGAGGCAGGCGGAUCUCUAUGAGUUUGAGGUCAGCCUGGUCUCCAGAACGAGUUCCAGGACAGGCUCCAAAGCUACAGAGAGAAACCCUGUCUCAAAAAACCAAAAUCCAAAAAAACAAAACAAAACAAAACAAAACAAAACAAAAAUUCCUGAUUGGUCUUGGUUAAGUCACAUGACAACUCCAGAUCCAGUCUGGCUCAGGAGACAGGUUUUCUCUGUUAGACCACACCCAUUGCUCUGGAAGCUGUGACAGACAGCUUCAGUAGGUACCCUUAGAGUAGUGGGGGGCCCUUUUGAAGGGAAGUCUGAGACCAGAGUACCCACUACAGCACUCCUCAGUCCCUGUCCCCAGAUGAUUGGCAAGCACAGAGGGUUCAUGAAUGCCAGAAGGCACUGGUCCUUGUUUUAUGGGAACAGAAGAAAAAUACAACUUACCCUGUGGUCGUAGGAAAUGAGAAAACUAUAUGGAAGGGCAAUGGUGUCGGUUAAAGGAAAGGAUGACGGCGUGACCGAGGUGAGUUCCAGCCGCCCGGGAGGUGGGCGCUGGAUUCCAGCCGAGGAAGGGUGAACUAGCCGCAGGUGUUGGGUUUUGCGCUGAGCAGAUGGACCCACAGUCCCUUCUGGACGAGGCCUUGUUCCUGGGAGGUGAUUUCUUUACUGUCCUUACUGACCAGCUAGCAGACGGUGAUACCGCACAGCCAGCCUGCACUCCAGAGGCAGCCAAUGCGGAGGGAGCAUCAGGUUGCCCAGACUCACGCUGGUGCCAUGGUUCUAGUCAUGGCCAAAGUGACAGCCAACACAGAGCGGCCGUCCCCUGAAUCCUGCUUCUCUGACAAAGUUACCUGAGAGUCCACCUUCUCAGAAGACCCGUGAAUGCUGUCUUGUAACUCACAGAAGACAGCAGUCUGCUCCUUCACCCAGACGAUGGUUCUGAGACUUUAAAGUUUUGAGUGUCAAUUAGGUGCAGACAGAUGCCCAUAACUUCAGCACCUGAGAGGUGGGAGGGUUGCUUCCAGUUCAAGACAAAUCGGAGGAUUUAGAGGAGGAGCGGGGGUUCAU
Arvicola amphibius (Eurasian water vole) is the source of this 2381-nucleotide long non-coding RNA. RefSeq lists it as uncharacterized. The transcript has 4 exons. The record is from RefSeq and is a predicted model, not a curated record. Lineage: Eukaryota; Metazoa; Chordata; Mammalia; Rodentia; Cricetidae.